RNAcentral lists this ribosomal RNA (377 nucleotides) under uncultured bacterium. Its description in RNAcentral is "bacterial SSU rRNA". It matches the Rfam family "Bacterial small subunit ribosomal RNA", at positions 29 to 433 of the family's 1533-position model. The record is from RNAcentral.
AACGAACGCUGGCGGCAGGCCUAACACAUGCAAGUCGAACGCCGUAGCAAUACGGAGUGGCAGACGGGUGAGUAACACGUGGGAACGUACCCUUCGGUUCGGGAUAACUCAGGGGAAACUUGAGCUAAUACCGGAUACGUCCGAGAGGAGAAAGAUUUAUCGCCGAGGGAUCGGCCCGCGUCUGAUUAGCUUGUUGGUGAGGUAACGGCUCACCAAGGCGACGAUCAGUAGCUGGCUGAGAGGAUGAUCAGCCACACUGGGACUGAGACACGGCCCAGACUCCUACGGGAGGCAGCAGUGGGGAAUAUUGGACAAUGGGCGAAAGCCUGAUCCAGCCAUGCCGCGUGAGUGAUGAAGGCCCUAGGGUUGUAAAGCUC